UACGAAGGGGGCUAGCGUUGUUCGGAUUUACUGGGCGUAAAGCGCACGUAGGCGGGUUGUUAAGUCAGUGGUGAAAUCCUGGAGCUCAACUCCAGAACUGCCUUUGAUACUGGCAACCUAGAGGCUGGAAGAGGUUAGUGGAAUUCCCAGUGUAGAGGUGAAAUUCGUAGAUAUUGGGAAGAACACCAGUGGCGAAGGCGGCUAACUGGUCCAGAUCUGACGCUGAGGUGCGAAAGCGUGGGGAGCAAACAGG
This 253-nucleotide ribosomal RNA is filed under the name uncultured bacterium. RNAcentral's name for it is "partial 16S ribosomal RNA". It matches the Rfam family "Bacterial small subunit ribosomal RNA", at positions 524 to 776 of the family's 1533-position model. The record is from RNAcentral.